UUUCCGUAGGUGAACCUGCGGAAGGAUCAUUACAGAGUUCAUGCCCUCACGGGUAGAUCUCCCACCCUUGAAUAUUUAUACCUUAGUUGCUUUGGCAGGCCGUGGAAACACCAUGGGCUCCGGCUUAUGCGUGCCUGCCAGAGGAAACAAACUCUGUUUUUAGUGAUGUCUGAGUACUAUUUAAUAGUUAAAACUUUCAACAACGGAUCUCUUGGUUCUG
This 220-nucleotide unclassified non-coding RNA is filed under the name plant metagenome. RNAcentral's name for it is "partial contains small subunit ribosomal RNA, internal transcribed spacer 1, and 5.8S ribosomal RNA". The record is from RNAcentral.